Molecule: ribosomal RNA, 478 nt
Filed under: uncultured bacterium
Lineage: Bacteria
Description: partial 16S ribosomal RNA
Rfam family: Bacterial small subunit ribosomal RNA
Source: RNAcentral
GACGAACGCUGGCGGCGUGCUUAACACAUGCAAGUCGAACGGUAAGGCCCUUCGGGGUACACGAGUGGCGAACGGGUGAGUAACACGUGGGUGAUCUGCCCUGCACUUCGGGAUAAGCCUGGGAAACUGGGUCUAAUACCGGAUAGGACCCUGGGAUGCAUGUCGUGGGGUGGAAAGCUUUUGCGGUGUGGGAUGGGCCCGCGGCCUAUCAGCUUGUUGGUGGGGUGAUGGCCUACCAAGGCGACGACGGGUAGCCGGCCUGGGAGGGGGUCCGGCCACACUGGGACUGAGAUACGGCCCAGGCGACUACGGGGGGCAGCAGUGGGGAAUAUUGCACAGUGGGCGCAAGCCUGAUGCAGCGACGCCGCGUGAGGGAUGACGGCCUUCGGGUUGUAAACCUCUUUCAGCACCGACGAGGCGCAAGUGACGGUAGGUGCAGAAGAAGGACCGGCCAACUACGUGCCAGCCGCCGCCGUAA